This 303-nucleotide signal recognition particle RNA is filed under the name Saimiri boliviensis boliviensis (Bolivian squirrel monkey). RNAcentral describes it as "Metazoan signal recognition particle RNA (ENSSBOG00000004744.1)". It matches the Rfam family "Metazoan signal recognition particle RNA". Rfam says of the family: The signal recognition particle (SRP) is a universally conserved ribonucleoprotein. It is involved in the co-translational targeting of proteins to membranes. Lineage: Eukaryota; Metazoa; Chordata; Mammalia; Primates; Cebidae. The record is from RNAcentral.
CCCGGGCACGAUGCCACGUGCCUGUAGUCCCAGCCACUCUGGAGGCUGAGGUGGGAGGAUCGCUUGAGCCCAGGAAUUCUGGGCUGUAGAGCACUAUGCUGAUCCAUCGGGUGACCGCACUAAGUUCAGCAUCAAUAUGGUGACCUCCCCGGAGCGGGGGACCACCAGGUUGCCUAAGGAGGGGUGAACCGGCCCAGGUUGGAAACGGAACAGGUCAAAACUCCCGUGCUGAUCAUUAGUGGGAUCGCACCUGUGAAUAGCCACUGCCCUCCAGCCUGGGCAACAUAGCAAGACCCCAUCUCU